RNAcentral lists this ribosomal RNA (516 nucleotides) under uncultured bacterium. RNAcentral's name for it is "bacterial SSU rRNA". It matches the Rfam family "Bacterial small subunit ribosomal RNA", at positions 29 to 521 of the family's 1533-position model. The record is from RNAcentral.
AAUCAACGCUGGCGGCGUGCCUAACACAUGCAAGUCGAGCGCGAAAGGGGAGCAAUCCCCAAGUAGAGCGGCGGACGGGUGAGUAACACGUGGGUAACCUACCCUCGGGUGGGGAAUAACUCAGGGAAACUUGAGCUAAUUCCGCAUAACAUCCCGGGCUCAUAAGAGUCCGGAAUCAAAGCUGGGGACCCUUCGGGGCCUGGCGUCUGAGGAGGGGCCCGCGGCCGAUUAGCUAGUUGGCGAGGAACGGCUCACCAAGGCGACGAUCGGUAGCCGGCCUGAGAGGGCGGACGGGCCACACUGGAACUGAGACACGGUCCAGACUCCUACGGGAGGCAGCAGUGGGGAAUCUUUGGCAAUGGGGGCAACCCUGACCAAGCAACGCCGCGUGGAGGACGAAGGCCCUCGGAUCGUAAACUCCUGUCGGACGGGACGAAUGCGGUUGGGUCGAAUAAGCCCAGCCGUUGACGGUACUGUACGAGGAAGCCCGGCUAACUCCGUGCCAGCAGCCGCAGU